CGGAGUGUAGCGCAGCCUGGUAGCGCACCUGAUUUGGGAUCAGGGGGUCGCAGGUUCGAAUCCUGCCACUCCGA
Molecule: transfer RNA, 74 nt
Organism: Mesorhizobium australicum
Lineage: Bacteria; Pseudomonadati; Pseudomonadota; Alphaproteobacteria; Hyphomicrobiales; Phyllobacteriaceae
Rfam family: tRNA
About the family: Transfer RNA (tRNA) molecules are approximately 80 nucleotides in length. Their secondary structure includes four short double-helical elements and three loops (D, anti-codon, and T loops).
Source: Rfam